GUGAGGAAUUUUCCGCAAUGGGCGAAAGCCUGACGGAGCAAUGGCGCGUGAAGGAUGAAGGCCUAUGGGUUGUAAACUUCUUUUCUCAGAAAAGAAUUAUGACGGUAUCUGAGGAAUAAGCAUCGGCUAACUCUGUGCCAGCAGCCGCGGUAAGACAGAGGAUGCAAGCGUUAUCCGGAAUGAUUGGGCGUAAAGCGGCUGUAGGUUGUUUAAAAAGUAUUCUGUCAAAGAUUAGGGCUUAACCCUAGAUAGGCAGAAUAAACUUUUAAGCUAGAGUUUGGUAGAGGCAGAGGGAAUUCCCGGUGGAGCGGUGAAAUGCGUAGAUAUCGGGAGGAACACCAAAGGCGAAGGCACUCUGCUGGGCCAAUACUAACACUGAGAGACGAAAGCGAGGGGAGCAAAUGGGAUUAGAAACCCUGGUAGUCC
This 426-nucleotide ribosomal RNA is filed under the name uncultured bacterium. RNAcentral describes it as "bacterial SSU rRNA". It matches the Rfam family "Bacterial small subunit ribosomal RNA", at positions 354 to 796 of the family's 1533-position model. The record is from RNAcentral.